AACGAACGCUGGCGGCAUGCCUAACACAUGCAAGUCGAACGAGACCUUCGGGUCUAGUGGCGCACGGGUGCGUAACGCGUGGGAAUCUGCCCUUAGGUUCGGAAUAACUCAGGGAAACUUGAGCUAAUACCGGAUAAUGACGUAAGUCCAAAGAUUUAUCGCCUAGGGAUGAGCCCGCGUAGGAUUAGCUUGUUGGUGGGGUAAAAGCCUACCAAGGCGACGAUCCUUAGCUGGUCGAGAGGAUGAUCAGCCACACUGGGACUGAGACACGGCCCAGACUCCUACGGGAGGCAGCAGUGGGGGAAUAUUGGACAAUGGGCGAAAGCCUGAUCCAGCAAUGCCGCGUGAG
RNAcentral lists this ribosomal RNA (349 nucleotides) under uncultured bacterium. Its description in RNAcentral is "bacterial SSU rRNA". It matches the Rfam family "Bacterial small subunit ribosomal RNA", at positions 29 to 405 of the family's 1533-position model. The record is from RNAcentral.